RNAcentral lists this non-coding RNA (96 nucleotides) under Aplanochytrium sp. PBS07. The record is from RNAcentral. Lineage: Eukaryota; Bigyra; Thraustochytrida; Thraustochytriidae.
CGUGAAGCUUUGAAGAAAGUCUCCAGAUAAUUUUGAAGGCUGAAAAGGCAACUUGUUCUGAAGGGUGGGAACAAAACUGUAAUACUGGAUCAAAAA